RNAcentral lists this ribosomal RNA (1310 nucleotides) under metagenome. RNAcentral describes it as "bacterial LSU rRNA". It matches the Rfam family "Bacterial large subunit ribosomal RNA", at positions 1627 to 2925 of the family's 2925-position model. The record is from RNAcentral.
CUAGACGAAAUCCGCCCGUACCGUAAACCGACACAGGUAGGCGGGGAGAGAAUCCUAAGGUGCGCGGGAAAACCCUCGUUAAGGAACUCGGCAAAUUGCAUCCGUAACUUCGGGAGAAGGAUGACCCUGAGUAGGCGAAAGGGAGAAACCCCCGGAACAGAAAAGGGUGGCAGAAAAGAGGCCCAAGCAACUGCUUACCAAAAACACAGGUGCCUGCAAAAGCGAAAGCUGAAGUAUAGGUGCUGACGCCUGCCCGGUGCUGGAAGGUUAAGGAGAGAGGUCAGCGAAAGCGAAGCUUUGAACUGAAGCCCCAGUGAACGGCGGCCGUAACUAUAACGGUCCUAAGGUAGCGAAAUUCCUUGUCGGGUAAGUUCCGACCCGCAUGAAAGGCGUAAUGAUUUGGGCACUGUCUCAACGAGGGGCCCGGUGAAAUUGAAAUACCUGUGAAGAUGCAGGUUACCCGCGACUGGACAGAAAGACCCCAUGGAGCUUCACUGCAGCUUGAGAUUGAAUCCCGGUGACAUAUGUACAGGAUAGGUGGGAGGCUAAGAAGUAAUGCCUUUGGGUGUUACAGAGCCGAUGUUGGGAUACCACCCUUAUGUUGCUGAGAUUCUAACACGGAGACUAACAACCUCGUGGACCAUCUCAGGCAGGCGGUUUGACUGGGGCGGUCGCCUCCUAAAAUGUAACGGAGGCGCCCAAAGGUUCCCUCAGGCCGGACAGAAACCGGCCGAAGAGUGCAAAGGCAGAAGGGAGCUUGACUGCGAGACAGACAAGUCGAGCAGAGACGAAAGUCGGGCUUAGUGAUCCGGUGGUACUGAGUGGAAAGGCCAUCGCUCAACGGAUAAAAGCUACCCUGGGGAUAACAGGCUAAUCUCUCCCAAGAGUUCAUAUCGACGGGGAGGUUUGGCACCUCGAUGUCGGCUCAUCACAUCCUGGAGCUGGAGUAGGUUCCAAGGGUUGGGCUGUUCGCCCAUUAAAGUGGUACGCGAGCUGGGUUCAAAACGUCGUGAGACAGUUUGGUUCAUAUCCAUCGCGGGCGCAAGAAGUUUGAGGGAGGCUGCUCCUAGUACGAGAGGACCGGAGUGGACGGAUCAACGGUGUACCAGUUGUCACGCCAGUGGCACGGCUGGAAAGCCGCAUCCGGAAAGGAUAAACGCUGAAAGCAUCUAAGCGUGAAGCCCGUCCCGAGAUGAGACUUCUCAUCAGCAAUGAGUAAGACCCCUUAAAGACGAUGAGGUUGAUAGGCUGUGAGUGGAAGUGGCGCAAGUCAUGGAGCGACGCAGUACUAAUAGGUCGAGGUCUUAGCU